Long non-coding RNA from Sapajus apella (tufted capuchin), 824 nucleotides. RefSeq lists it as uncharacterized. NCBI's taxonomy places the organism in Eukaryota, Metazoa, Chordata, Mammalia, Primates, Cebidae. The record is from RefSeq and is a predicted model, not a curated record. The transcript has 2 exons.
CCACCCGCCUCGGCCUCCCAAAGUGCUGGGAUUACAGGCUUGAGCCACCGCGCCCGGCCGCUAUUGACAUUUUUUAAGGCUGCUAGUAAUAAGGGAGGGCUUUUCUGUAAUGUGCAGUUCGUAUGCUCCUAUUUUUUGGUUAACGUGGGUAGCAGGGCUCUUGAAGUGAAGUGUGAAGGAACACAGAGGGCGGGAGAUUUCCUAGGGGGAUUCCAGUGGGUAAUUGUCAGGAAAUACAUAAAGGAGCAGCGAUAGAAAUAGUUGUUUUUGUAGUUAGCGGUCUGAGAUCGGGGGUGUUGAGUUGACAUAGGCGGAAAGAUUACUUAGGGAGGUGCGUAGAGGAGCAGCAGCCUAUUGGGAUGAGAUAUCUGGGGUGUCUCUGUCGACUGUCUAGGAGGUAGAGUUCUAGGGGUACAGGUGGGGGGUGUUGAAGGAAGUCUGGAGGUACAGAGACAUGGGAGAGUUUGUCCAGUUGGUCAGUAGGGUGGGAACAGCUGUGUAGUGAGAUGAGGAGAGGGAAGAGCAUAGCCAGCAAUCUAAGGAAGGGUUCAAGUUUGCUAGGAUASAGUGGGUUAGGUUUAUGGUGUGUUGGAGGUAAUCAGGGAGAGGUAGGGGGUAGCAGGUGAAAGGGAGCGAGAUUAAGAGUGAGUGUAAAAGAAAAGGACUUCAUCAGGGUGGAAGAACUGGAGAGUUCCUUGCCGCUGAAGAUCAUCUAGCCACUCUAAGAGAGUUGAGGGUGGCAGCCUGGGGAUAAAACCACAAAAUAUCGGCCAUAAUUGCCUGAAGGAAAAACGUAAACUGGCAGUGUAAACAAAAACAGGGCA